UACGGAGGGUGCGAGCGUUGUCCGGAAUCACUGGGCGUAAAGGGCGCGUAGGCGGCGCGGGCAGUCAACGGUGAAAGCUCGGAGCUCAACUCCGAGUCGGCCGUCGAUACUCCCGUGCUUGAGCACUGUAGAGGCAGGUGGAAUUCCGGGUGUAGCGGUGGAAUGCGUAGAGAUCCGGAAGAACACCGGUGGUGUAGACGGCUUUCUGGACCGUAACUGACGCUGAGACACGAAAGCGUGGGUAGCAAACAGG
Molecule: ribosomal RNA, 253 nt
Filed under: uncultured bacterium
Lineage: Bacteria
Description: partial 16S ribosomal RNA
Rfam family: Bacterial small subunit ribosomal RNA
Source: RNAcentral